AUUUAUAUAGUUUAAAAAACAUUACAUUUUCACUGUAAAAUUGAUAAAUUUAUCUAUAAAUA
RNAcentral lists this transfer RNA (62 nucleotides) under Rhadinosa nigrocyanea. RNAcentral describes it as "tRNA-Glu". It matches the Rfam family "tRNA". From Rfam's summary of the family: Transfer RNA (tRNA) molecules are approximately 80 nucleotides in length. Their secondary structure includes four short double-helical elements and three loops (D, anti-codon, and T loops). The record is from RNAcentral. Lineage: Eukaryota; Metazoa; Arthropoda; Insecta; Coleoptera; Chrysomelidae.